This 475-nucleotide ribosomal RNA is filed under the name uncultured Sphingobacteriales bacterium. RNAcentral's name for it is "bacterial SSU rRNA". It matches the Rfam family "Bacterial small subunit ribosomal RNA", at positions 902 to 1382 of the family's 1533-position model. The record is from RNAcentral. Lineage: Bacteria; Pseudomonadati; Bacteroidota; Sphingobacteriia; Sphingobacteriales.
CAAAGGAAUUGACGGGGCCGCACAAGCGAGGAGCAUGUGUUAAUUCGAUGAUACGCGAGGAACCCUACCUGGGCUCGAACGUAAGAUGACUGUAGGUGAAAGCUUACAUCUCUUCGGAGCAUUUUACGAGGUGCUGCAUGGUUGUCGUCAGCUCGUGCCGUGAGGUGUCGGGUUUAAGUCCCAUAACGAGCGCAACCCCUACCUUUAGUUGCCAUCAGGUUAAGCUGGGGACUCUAAAGGAACUGCCUACGCAAGUAGUGAGGAAGCGGGGAUGACGUCAAAUCAGCACGGCCCUUACGUCCAGGGCUACACACGUGCUACAAUGGCCGAUACAGAGGGCAGCUACCUGGUGACAGGAUGCAAAUCUCCAAAGUCGGUCUCAGUUCGGAUCGGAGUCUGCAACCCGACUCCGUGAAGUUGGAUUCGCUAGUAAUCGCGCAUCAGCCAUGGCGCGGUGAAUACGUUCCCGGGCCUU